CCUGAGGCCUUUCUAUAAUCAUUAAGUACAUGUGCGGAGAUCUAAUAAUAGGUCUCUGAUCAGUCAUAGUAUGCAUGUGUUCCUUGCCUUAAUAGUUGCACAAACUCAAUAUGAAAAUACAUGUGCAUUUGCUUAGAAAAGAAAGUAAUAGAAUAAAUCAAAUGCAAAAACAAGUUUUUUUUUUUUGCAAGAUAUUUCCCUCCC
This 204-nucleotide long non-coding RNA is filed under the name Phoenix dactylifera (date palm). Its description in RNAcentral is "long non-coding RNA (PDAC_LNC001139)". Lineage: Eukaryota; Viridiplantae; Streptophyta; Magnoliopsida; Arecales; Arecaceae. The record is from RNAcentral.